Molecule: ribosomal RNA, 726 nt
Filed under: uncultured bacterium
Lineage: Bacteria
Description: bacterial SSU rRNA
Rfam family: Bacterial small subunit ribosomal RNA
Source: RNAcentral
GGAAUGCUUUACACAUGCAAGUCGAACGGCAGCACGGGGGCAACCCUGGUGGCGAGUGGCGAACUGGUGAGUAAUACAUCGGAACGUGCCCAGUCGUGGGGGAUAACGUAGCGAAAGCUACGCUAAUACCGCAUACGAACUCUGGUUGAAAGCGGGGGAUCGCAAGACCUCGCGCGAUUGGAGCGGCCGAUGGCAGAUUAGGUAGUUGGUGGGGUAAAGGCUCACCAAGCCGACGAUCUGUAGCCGGUCUGAGAGGACGACCAGCCACACUGGGACUGAGACACGGCCCAGACUCCUACGGGAGGCAGCAGUGGGGAAUUUUGGACAAUGGGCGCAAGCCUGAUCCAGCCAUUCCGCGUGCAGGAUGAAGGCCCUCGGGUUGUAAACUGCUUUUGUACGGAACGAAAAGCGCUGAGUUAAUACCUUGGCGUCAUGACGGUACCGUAAGAAUAAGCACCGGCUAACUACGUGCCAGCAGCCGCGGUAGUACGUAGGGUGCAAGCGUUAAUCGGAAUUACUGGGCGUAAAGCGUGCGCAGGCGGUUAUGUAAGACAGGUGUGAAAUCCCCGGGCUUAACCUGGGAACUGCAUUUGUGACUGCAUAGCUAGAGUACGGUAGAGGGGGAUGGAAUUCCGCGUGUAGCAGUGAAAUGCGUAGAUAUGCGGAGGAACACCGAUGGCGAAGGCAAUCCCCUGGACCUGUACUGACGCUCAUGCACGAAAGCGU